AGUGGCGAACGGGUGAGUAACACGUAGGUAACUUACCUCUAAGACGAGGAUAACGACUGGAAACGGUCGCCAAAACUGGAUAGGAUCAUUGGAGGCAUCUCUGGUGAUUUAAAAGGGCUUUACAGCCAUGCUUAGAGAAAGGCCUGCGGCGCAUUAGCUAGUUGGUGGUGUAGAGGACUACCAAGGCGAUGAUGCGUAGCCGGACUGAGAGGUCGAACGGCCACAUUGGGACUGAGACACGGCCCAAACUCCUACGGGAGGCAGCAGUAGGGAAUUUUCGGCAAUGGGGGAAACCCUGACCGAGCAACGCCGCGUGAAUGAAGAAGUAUUUCGGUAUGUAAAGUUCUUUUAUUGAGGAAGAAUGGGUUGGAUAGGAAAUGAUCUGACCGUGACGGUACUCAAUGAAUAAGCCCCGGCUAACUAUGUGCCAGCAGCCGCGGUAAUACAUAGGGGGCAAGCGUUAUCCGGAAUUAUUGGGCGUAAAGGGUGCGUAGGCGGUCUGUUAAGUCUAAGGUGUAAGUGCAAGGCUCAACCUUGUGAUGCUUUAGAAACUGGUGGACUAGAGAUAGAUAGAGGCAAGUGGAAUUCCAUGUGUAGCGGUAAAAUGCGUAAAUAUAUGGAGGAACACCAGUGGCGAAGGCGGCUUGCUGGGUCUAUACUGACGCUGAGGCACGAAAGCGUGGGGAGCAAACAGGAUUAGAUACCCUGGUAGUCCACGCC
This 720-nucleotide ribosomal RNA is filed under the name uncultured bacterium. RNAcentral describes it as "bacterial SSU rRNA". It matches the Rfam family "Bacterial small subunit ribosomal RNA", at positions 94 to 801 of the family's 1533-position model. The record is from RNAcentral.